RNAcentral lists this non-coding RNA (28 nucleotides) under Mus musculus (house mouse). Lineage: Eukaryota; Metazoa; Chordata; Mammalia; Rodentia; Muridae. The record is from RNAcentral.
AAAGGCACUGAGAACUGUAAGGCAUAGG